RNAcentral lists this long non-coding RNA (4676 nucleotides) under Nicotiana tabacum (common tobacco). RNAcentral describes it as "long non-coding RNA (NTAB_LNC001738)". Lineage: Eukaryota; Viridiplantae; Streptophyta; Magnoliopsida; Solanales; Solanaceae. The record is from RNAcentral.
UUUGUGGCUCAAUCAACCUUAUCCCAACUGGAGAUAUUUGCUUAGGUGACCUUUUCUAAUAUAUCACUACAAGAAAUUGGGCCUAUGGGAACAGUUUGUUGGCAACGGUUGAUAUAACCGUUGCUAUAGAUGGUUGCUUAGGGUAUGGAUCCUGUUGAGACACUUUUGUAAGUAAACCGUUGCAGUAGUGUUAGAACCGUUCUAUUAGUCUUUUCUAUAGCGACGGUUUUCAUAACCAUCACAAUAGGUAUAUCUAUGGAAACGGAUAUCUUAAAAUAAAAUCUAUUGGGACGGUUCAGAUUCCCUCCUUAUUUUCCCCCUUCUAUUUUUCGCAAAACCCUAACCUUUUGAGUGGAGUUUUUUUAGUUGCUAAUAUUUCUAAGCCUGAUGAGAGACAAAGUAGUACUCUAAGACCUUUUGUUGCCAAGUCCAAAUCGAUAGUUGAAUCCAAAAUAUAGCAUCUUGAUAUAACACUCCUAAAGAAGAAUCCAUCAUUUUGAAGCGACAAAAUGGAGGUCUAUUCUGCCUAUGGAGGUCGCAAAUCUGGACUUCUAAAGAACAUAGAUUUUUCUUCUAUCGCUAGGUCCCAUUUCGCUGGUAAAGGUCGCCGAUCUGGGCUGCCAAAGAACUCAUUAUUUUAUUGCACAACUAGGUCUAUUAUCGAGCAAAGCCAACCCCAUUUCACAUUUAGUUCCUUUCGGGUUAGUGAUUUUCAUAUGUACUGCAGUUUUCUUUUUGGGGGUUUGGGGGUUUCUUCUAAUUUGUUCAAUUUUAUCUCAUCUAAAUAGUUAGUAGACUUGCUGGAUUAUCUCUUCCUACUCUGUAUGUAAAAUGAUUUUGAAUACCCAAUUUUCUAUUAGUGAGUUGUUUGCUUGGUUGUUUACUAAAAUUGUGCUUACUCAAAUCUGUCAUGCAUAUUAACUAUUCGACGAAAUACCGACCCAUUAGCAGUGGCUACUCAAAUCUUAUUUUUUGCUUAAAUGUAUCUCGAUUUACAAAUAUUGAUAUGUAAGCCUGAAUGCAAUCUUGAUGCUCUGUUCUCUUUAUAUGUUAAUCUAUUAGGAAGAAAAGAUAUUGACGAAUAUUAAGCUUUAGUGACCUUAUUUCAUUCAUGGUUGACCAAAUAAGAUAUUAUUAGUUAUAGUUCAUUUCGAAGUUGUACUCUUUUUAGUCUUUGAAUUAUCUAAUUUGUGGCUAUAUCAUCUUUUCAUUCGGAAAAAACACAAGAGUAAUUCCUUUUUUGGAAAUGGAAUAUGUCAUUAGUCAUCUAGAAAUAGAAAUUAGAAUUGCAUAUUGCAAUUGCUACUGAAAGUUUAAAGAUUUGUCAAAGUUAAAGUUUACUUUGAUGCUUUUUUAAACUUAGAAAGAUUAAAAAUUUUACACUCAUUAUGAGUAUAUGACAAAGAGAAAAGAUGAGUUCUAUCUAUUGGGGUAAUGCCUAAUGGUUUAACUUUAUUUUUCUCAGAUUUGAACAAGGAGGCUUGAAAUGGUCCCUUUUUCUAUUGAAAUGGUGUGAUUUACCUUUUCACUUCAUUCAUAUAAGUUUGAUUGAGCUUAGAUAUCUUCUCAAUCAUACUUGGUUUUCUGGUUUGUAAUCGAUUUGCUUGUUCCUAAAUCCUAGUUACAGUUACAUGCAACCUAAUAGAAAUUAAUACGGAAAGGAGUAUUUUGUGGACAUUAUUGCCGGGGACUUAUGGUAAAUUUAAAAAGUCUUGUUUCUAACUUGUAGUUUAUUGUAUAUUUUUGUGUAAAAUAUCAUUGUCAAUAGUGGAAUCAAAUACUAUCGAAUUUGUGCUAAGGCUUUUUGGUAGCAAAUGGGCACAACCAGUAGUGCCAGAAUCUGCAGCGUUACCUGCUGGCCAUUUGCAUAGUUUUGGAUUCAAGAUUAUCUCGAAGGUACUAUACUACUAUCACCUUUGUUUUUCUAAUUUUGGGUCUAUCUCAUUGUCCCUUUCUUUUGUGAAAUUGGUAAUUUGUAGUUUCUGUUUAAGGUUCACUACUUCUAUUGAUUUAAUUAAUAUAUAAUUGCUUAAGAUCGCUAAAAAUAUCAUUCUUGAAGAACUAGUUGAUUGUUUUGGUUAUAACACAAAUAGAAUCUGUAUGUGUUCUUCACUAUGGAUCUUAAUGUGUUGUCCUCGUUGUGAAGUGAAGGAAAUUUAUGGUUGAUUUAUAUUGUUUUGCGUGAAUUUGUAAUUGUUCAUUAAUAAGUUCAAAAUUACCAGUCACUACUUUGCAAAGUCUCCGGGUCUUCAGCUUAAAACUUGAACAAAAGCUUCCACUUACAUAUUUUUAGAAAUAUCCUUGAAAGCUCGGGAGCAAAAUCAUUUAGAGUAGAAAAGGUCAUUAAAAGUAAAAAUCUAGACCUUUAAGAGCACCACUACAUCCAAUAUUUUCAGUGAAUCCUCAAGCAAACACAGAUCAUGAAGCUGAAAAAUUGAUUGUUUAACACACUAUGUUGUAAACUCAUCUCUGAAAACUCAUAUAUUCAGCAGAAGCCACAAAAAAGGCUGGAACACAUCAUUUCCCGCUUAUUUUAACUUUGAUUGUUAUCUUUACAUAUUUAUCAUAGCUUUUCGAUACUACGCGUUAAAAAUUUUUAGGCGAAAUUGUCUAGUUUGUAAGUUCAUCUCUAGGAACCUUCCAUUGACAUCUCUGAUGCUAUUUAAAAAUUACUAAACUGAAUUUCCUACUUUCCUAUACUUAUUAAUUUAACUUGAUAUUGAGUCCUCAGAAAUCAUGAAAAGUACCUAUAUGCCUAUUAUGAUAAUGAAGAAAUAUAGUACCACACGGUAGUGCUAUAAUUUCCCUCAUAUUUCUUCUUAAACUUUAGGUUCUGGAAAAUAUAUAUUGUGCAGAAAUAACUUACAUGUAAAUGUAUAGUAGUGAUAAGUUAAAAUUUUCAGCGAAAGCUAAUAGCAGGUAGUGAUGCAUAUGGUAUUACAAUUUUACAGAACCAUACUUUACAAAUUAGAGGGAAUAAUUUUGUUGUUACGUUCUCCAUUUUUUGCCUACUAUAUUAUCUAGCAAGUUAAAUCAAAGAAUUCUAACAGGGGAAUUGAAUUCAACUCUUUGCAAUGCUUUUAUUCUAAAUUUCAACAACAACAACAACAAUAACGACCCAGUAUAAUCCCACAAGUGGGGUCUGGGGAGGGUAAUAUGUACGCAGACCUUACCCCUACCCCGAAGGGUAGAGAGGCUGUUUUCAGGAGACCCUUGGCUCAAAAAAGCAACAGGAACCGAUAUAUUAGUACCAUAAAAAUGCAUAAUAAAAUAACAACAAUAUAAGAGAUAUGAAAUACAGAAUUUGUGAUAAGAAUAUGCUAAAUUUAAUCGCUAGAAAUUACUUAUUGAGACUAAUUGACGGAUAUGAAUAUGCGAAAUCGGAUAUGAAACUAACCAUGUGAGUUUGUUAGGUUUUGAUUUUAAGUUUGAAACCAUGAGAUUUUCCUUGUUCGAUCUUUGCUAUCGAUGUUCGAUGUCGUUGUCUUGGUUAUUCUGAAUCGUUUCGCUGCUCCUUUUUUCUUUCUCUAGUAAUAUUUUUGAUAAACACAUUCUUUUACUUCUGUCCGAUUAUGCUUGUGCUGCUUUCACUUAAAAUGAAAGGAACUAUGGAUUUAAGACAUGGAAGCACCUAAUACGAUGAACUUAUAAGUUUGUAUUUAUGGUCCAAUUGAAAUCAGAGUUGCGGCUCGUGGCUGCUGUUUUUUCCCUUCUUCUUCUACUUCACUGCUACUAGUUUUUUGCAUCUUUCACUUGCUUAUUGCUGCUGUUGCUGCUGUUUUUUCUUCUUUUACUGCUUUUUCUUUGUCGAAAAACUAUGCAUACUUAGCUCAUUGUUGCUAUUUUACCCCUUCGUUUUCUACUUCACUGCUGCUAUGUUUUGCGUCUUUCACUUGCUUGUUGCUGCUGCUGCUAUUGUUUUUCCUUCUUUUACCCAAUUAUGGCUUAGGUACUCCAUCAUAUUUCUUAUUAAAGGAAAGUGUUUAGGACGAUAGAUCAUCAUGAUCUAUUUAGUACCAUAAAUAUUAAACAAAUCGGGACAUCAUUAAGUGAAAACUAAUUUGCUUGGAAUAAAAAUGUUUCCAGACCAACGAUACUCUGCAAGUUCAAUAUAGUUGCUGAACCAACUCCAAUUCUAAAUGAUCAAAGGAAACUUCACUUGUUAUAACUUCUUAUAGAAUAAUGAUGUUUUGAGCAGGUUAAAAUUUUUGGGAUAGUCGUAUUUACAAAGGAAACUCUGCCGAAAAUUCUAGGAAUUUAGAGAGUUAGAAAAUUUGUCAUUCAAUUAUCUUAAAAAAAAUUGUUUAAUUGUUUCUUAUUGUCUUUUGUAGGUGCAAAGAUUGCGGAUGAAACCAGUGAAGUAGACCUUACUUGAAAGUUCUAUUAUCAUGUUCAAUAUUUUAGUUUAGAACUUUUUGUAUGCAAACUCAUCUAUUUUGACUUUUGAAUUGUUGAUCAAACAAUGUAUUCAUAUUUUGUUUUUGUAUAUGGAUAAAGCUAGUUGAAUAUUUUUAUUUUAUUUCGUGGUUUAUAUAAUUUAUGGUGUAUUAAAUUACAUUGCAUAGGAAAAUAUUCCUCAUUUUGCUUCAAUAAAUAUCAAAAAUGAUAAUUGUGAAUUGUUGCAAUAGAGAAUCCAACCGUUCCAAUAGACCUAAAAAUAAUAACAGGAGCCCCUA